UUUUUGUUUUCUUUUAUAAUACUUUAAAACUGUCGGCCAAGAUCUAUCAAUAUGGAGGGCCCACAUAAUUAGGUGUUUCCUCACCAAUAAUGCGCUCACACGCGUCACAUAUUCAGAGGAAGUCCAUAUCACGUGACACAAGAUCAUUGGCCGUGACCCGGAUUGAAUUAACACUGCCGAUGUGACGUACUCUAGCGAGAAACGUUAUACUUAAAAAAAAUACACAAGUUUUUUUAACACAAAUGGUUCACGGGGUAUACUAGUAUUUAAAAUACUUGGCACAGAAAGUUUCUAUGGUUCUAUUCCACACCUCAUCUCACACUUUUCUCUGCUAACUCUUUCUAUGGAUUCUCUCUAGUUUUAUUUGCCAUCUCAAAUCAUUUACGAAAAAAGACAUCAUCAAGCAAUGUUCAAUCGGACUUGAAGAUUCUUAACAAAACAAGCCAAAAGUCUAAGGUUUAGGAGAAUUUUGAGCACGUUGAAGAUGGAGUUGGCAAGCAAUGGGUAGGAUGUCAUGGUGUUAGGGAUUGUUUACAACACAAAGAAUUUUGACGAUGACACUGGCAUGGUGCAUGUCGGCAUGUAGAAAAGAAAAACGCUUGAUAAUUUACCGCGACAAGCUCAAAUACAUGGAAACUUAACUUUUCCAUUUCGACAAUGCCAAGGCACGAGAGUUGACGGUGGAAUGUGUUUAAAGAAGGGCCGGCUACCAUUUGAUUAUUAUUUUUUUUUUUGGAAAAACAAAUAUAUUCUAUUUUACUCCUAUAUAACACUUAAAUCUCCAUCUAUGUCUCUCCACCACCUGUGAUUUAUUCCAAAUGUGUUAUAACCUCGAUUUCCUCAAGUAAGUCGUACUAUUUUAAAACAUGAUAUAUAUAUAUAUAUAUAUAUAUAUAUAUAUACUAUCUUAUAAAAAAAAUCUUAUUAUUUUUAAAAAUAUAUUAAAUAUAAUAAUAUUAUUUUUUUAAGACGUACACAGCUAAAAAUACAACUAACCAUUAAUAAAAUAAUAUUAAUUUGUAAAAUAUUAUUUACAUUUUGAAUUUGUCCUACAUACAUAGAUUGCAACUAUCUAAUGCAUAACUUUUGGAACAUAUUUUAUCCGCCUUUUAUCUUUUACACAUAUAUCAGAACUUAAUACUUAUUUAUUUAACAAUUGUUGAAUCCGUCAUCCUACUUAAAUGCAUAACUGACCAAUUUCAACAUUUUAAAUUUCAAAAAUACAAUUGAAACCCUAAAAUCUCAAGUUCUCUGUAUAAACCAAGGAUUCCAAGUCAGCCUCUACCCAUGUUUUCGCCUUCAACAAUUUAUAUUUCUUUAGAUCUAGCAACAAGCAUUUACAUGGAUGUGUGGAGCACAUAUGAUGGUGUUACAGCCCCCCAUCUGCACACCACUAACAUUGUCGUGUCUCUUCUUCAACCUCAGUUCCCUAACAUGAACUUGCUUUGUCUCCAAACUCUUUCGUUCUUCGACUACUAAGCACCACCACCAUAAUCAAUGCGCUCGACAUUGGCUCCGCCCUUGGACAACUGCCCACUGGCAGCACGACUUCACAUCAAAACACAACCACACAUCUCGCAAUGCUAAAGACAUCGCACAUUCGCACUAUCGUUAUCACACCCACCGGAAGGCUUAACAUCCGCCUCUCUGUCGUUUACCACCAUGGUCCACCCUUCUCUCACUCUCAAAACCUAAUCCCCAUUUUCAAUAUAUGUUUAAUGUUUUAUAUGUGUUCUCACACGAAAUUCUAUUUUUAUUGGUUUUCUUGUUGAUUCCAUAUAUGUAUUGCUGGACUGAAGCUUGAACAAGAAACUCCCAAUGCUCCUAUGUUCCCUAACCAUGAAAUGAUUCUUUUAUUGCAGGAAACUUCUACAGAUCCAUGGAUGUAUUGUAUGUAUGUGUUUUUUUUUCUUUUUUAUGAAUUUCUAGGGCUUUGAUCAGUUUUGAUUUGAUUUAUUUUUAUAUAAGAAAGUUAUAUUGAUCUAUUGCAUAACUAUUUUCAAACUACAUGAGGUUUUUAAAUUGAUUUCAGAAAACAUUGGAAUCUAAGCCCAAUGUUGAACAAUUUGGCUUAUUGGAAGUAAUUCUUGCAACAAACUGGAUACAAGUUCUCCUACUAGGAAACACUAAGGAUAUCAUUCUCAUAUAGGUUCCUGUUAUGAGACACUUGGUAUGUUACAUUUCAAUUUUUUUGGUUUUUUAAUUAAGAUGGUAACUUUGUAUAUUUUUAGUGGUUUAAAUAUGUGGUUUUCAUAUAAUUUUCAACCAAGACAGAAUUCGUAAGGCAUACAUUUUUUCCAGUCGUGUUCUUGUAUAUAAACACCCCGUCUUUAUAAACAUAUUUGAUGUCUGUAUGUGCUAAUUUGAUGUUGUUUUUGCUAUGGAUGUGCAGGUUAUUGAUUAUGUAUUGGAUAGACAAAAGGAGACUGAAUGGAUGUGCAUCGUGUUGUAUUGCAUAUAGCGAUAUAUGUACAAGUUUUAUCAUCACUAUUUUUAAUGUUUUUUGAGGACAUCCGUUGAUAUCUGAAAGGAAGCCAAGUACAAAAUUUGACAUUUUUUGAGUGUUGGGUUCUUAGUUGGUGGGAAGACUCUACGUGGGAAAUUAGAAAUUAUAGGGAAUCUAAUGCAUAGGGCUUGUUGAAGGGAUCAGAUGCCAUUGUUUCAUGCCAAGUCUUCAUAUAAACCAUCAUGUCCUCACAUGUUAAUACCUAGAAACAAAAGAGACAAAAAAAAUUUAUUUUGCCUUAUUAUUCUCCUUUUUACUUAAGUAAUCCGGAAACGUUAAUUAGGUGGAAAAAACAUAACUUUACCUUUUUUUUUGGUUUAUAGUAGUAUAAUCCAUUUUUGACAAAUCUGUUUUUCAUAUAGGAUGAAGUGAUUAAUAUCAAUACUUUUUUUUGGUUUAUAGUCAGUAUAUAGUUAGUUUUUAUAACAAUUUUAUUUUCAUGUAGGAUAGAAUGGGUAACAGUGGCAGGAAAUGGAAGCUGUGGAGGAGAUAAUAAAGGCAGUCAGUCAGGUGUUGAUUGCAAGGGUUUCGAAGGAAGCUACAUGGGCAAAAUCUCUUUAUUAUGAGUCAUGGUUGAUUUUAAAAGACCAAUUAUAACAAGAAGAGGAUGUAUGAGCAUUUUAUUGGUUAUCUAUUAUUAUUGAUUAUAUAUUUAUUUAAUUUAAA
Molecule: long non-coding RNA, 3172 nt
Organism: Lactuca sativa (garden lettuce)
Lineage: Eukaryota; Viridiplantae; Streptophyta; Magnoliopsida; Asterales; Asteraceae
Source: RefSeq, a predicted model, not a curated record